This is a long non-coding RNA of Carassius auratus (goldfish), 1779 nucleotides long. The record is from Ensembl. Lineage: Eukaryota; Metazoa; Chordata; Actinopteri; Cypriniformes; Cyprinidae.
UUUCUUCUUCUUUAUCAGUAUCAUUUUUCCUUCUUUCUUUUUCUUUAUAUAUUUUUCUUGUUGCUUUCUGCUUGCAAAAUGACACAAUUAACUUAAAAGUGAUUAUUACCUCUCCAAUUAGGUAUUUGAGACUUCCCCAUGGUAUCAUGGCAUCUCCUUGAGUGUGAGCUUUGGUCAGGUAGGUGUCCAAAAUUUCCAUACACACCUGAGAGGAAAUAAAACAACAGAAUGGAAAAACAAUAAAAUGUUUCUUAAACUAACCUUAAACUACCUGAGCAUUUCAGGGACCUUUGGGUUAAAGGAGACUUACCAGGAAGUCAGACUCGUUGAAAUCAUAAGGCACAUUCCAGCCGAUCUUGCCGUACUUGCGUCUUUCCUGAACCACAGCAUGGAAGAAGGCCAGCACAUAAACCAGACUGCGAAAGGCUGGUGUGACGUAAUCACUGACAGCGCGAUAGACUCGGUCUAGCCUGAAGCAGCGCAUCAGCAGAAGCUUCUGGAACGGAGUGAGGUUGUCCUUGUACUUCAUGGGGAAAGAAGCCUGCUCUGGAGCAUCCAAAUCGUACCACUGCAGCAGAAACAGAAAGACAUAAAUGGUUGGACUCUGUAUCUCAUCGUGGGUUCAUCAGGUGUGUUUGAUGAUUUCCGCCACUCACAUUCUUCCAUUCCUCAGGAUUCUUUUCUAUAUCGUCUGCUAAAGUACCAAACUCAUUAGGAAAGAGUUCCAUAAGGCGCACUAUAUCCUCCCAGCCUUGAUCAGGCAGCCAGUCGCACAGUUUCUUACGUUUGCUUUUUUCCAAAGAGAGAUUACCUGGAGAGAGAAGGAAGAUAUGGUUUAUCUUUUUUUAUUUUUUUGGUUUUAUAUUGUAAAAGAGGGAGAGAAGUCUUCCUGAAGCUUCUACCUUUAAGGAAGAACUCUAGCUCAUCCUGGGGUGCUCGGCCCUCACCCUGCUCAAUCUUAAUGGUCAUGUUGAAGGAGAAAAGAAGUUUGUGUCUUUCAAACAGACCUAAACAAAAAUGCAAAAAUAAAUUUGGUUUUUAAUUCACUGAAGAAAAAAAAAGUGAUUCCAUUUCAACUUUUUCCUGUCAUCACUAGCUGCUAAUAUUCAUGGACUAUAAAAAAUCUUAAUCACAUGGUAUGCUCUUUAGCAGUUAAUUAAAGAAUAUAACAAAAAGUUUCUUAAAAUUCUAAUUUGUGACCAGAAUCCAUUAGACUUUAAGAUUUUAACAGGCUCACCAGUACAGCCAUAGUUAUAGACAUUCUGUGUAAGUGUCUCCAUGAUGUUCUUCAGUCUAGUGGGCAGGACUGCGUUGGGCAUAGACUUGGACAGUGAGAGGUCAAACACCUCUAAAAAGGAAGCAAGUGAAUACUGGUACAUGGUGUUGACCAGAGCCAUCUCAGCCAGCACAAAGAACAAGACAGCUCCCCGCUUGGCAGCCGGACGGUAGCCGUCUCUCAGUGUCUCAAUAUCAUUGGCUGUCUUUUCUGCCAGCUUCAGUUUUUCAAACACCUUUUGGAAUCAAAUAAUGAUUGUUAAAUUGUAAACAGCACAUAUUAUCCUGUUUAACUGAGUUAAUCCAUAUGUACACUACCAUUCAGAAGACAGUACAAUAAAUAAAAAAAAUUAUAAUAUUUUCAUUAAGCAAGGAUGCAUCAGUGGGUUCAAAAACAAAUCUGAUUUUAAAUAAAUGCUGUUCUUUUGAAAAGCCUAUUUAUCAAAUAAUCCUGAAAUAAAAUAUAUGUAAGUAAAGGUAUGCAAGUAAAAAACAGUAAGCAGU